This 1219-nucleotide long non-coding RNA is filed under the name Monodelphis domestica (gray short-tailed opossum). RNAcentral's name for it is "lncRNA (ENSMODG00000041037.1)". The record is from RNAcentral. Lineage: Eukaryota; Metazoa; Chordata; Mammalia; Didelphimorphia; Didelphidae.
GAACUGAGACCAGGGUCCUGAAAAAGUCGUUUCCAAGAGGAGGCGAGCCCUCGCUGGGAGCCUUGAGGAGAGAAAGUUGGCAGAGCAUUUACCCUGCAUCAUUUUAUCUGAGCCUCACAACAACCCUGGGACGUGGUUUUUAGUGACCUUAAAUUCCGCAUCAAACACCUUGCUUGGGACAGACUGAGAUGGAGCAGGAAUGUUGUUACCAGGGCCUUACUACUAGGAAGAUGUGGUCAGCAACAGAAGGUAAACCCAGGAAGAUGACCUGGAAUGACUUUGUGCUGAAUGGCAAGUCUAGAGGGCUGGGAGAAUCCUGUAAGGGAGGAGCCCUCCUGUCUGAAGCUCUAAAGCUAAUCAAGCAAAGGGUUUCUGCUUUGUUUUCCUCCUACUUUUAAUACAACUUUCUGCUAAAGUGUCUUAGACUUAGAGCUUAAAGGAACCUCAAGGAUAAUUAAAUCGAAUUCCUCCUUUUUCCAGAAAAGGAAACCAAGGCUGUGAGAGUAUCCAUGACCAACCCAAGGUUGUAGAGCUCAUGGGCCAGCUUAGUUGAAGCAGCUGGGCACCUUGAUGGAGAAACAAGAAGUAGCAUGUCUCAAGUGAAUCAAUCCCCCCUUCACCUCAACCACCGUCUCUCCUCAGACCGCACUGGAGACAGAUCAGAACCUUGAGGGUUCUCCCACAGCCAUAUUGAAGAGGAGCAAUCACAGUGGUAAAAAGGCUGACCCACCCUUCUUCCAGCACUCCAGCAUCAACUGCCAACCAAUUGGUAUUGUCAAGUAGGGCCUUGGGAAUAGUAGUGCCUCCCUGACCACUCCUGCCCAAGCCCCAUAGGCAUCACUCAAGGGAGUGAGUCUUGUGAGAUGGGACCUGGCAGCAGCCACAGUCAUUGCUACUCAAGACCCAAGAAGGAAUAUUCUCACCUGCAAAAUCCUUGGCAUUGAUGAAUGGCCCACAUCUGAAAAAGAGAGAAGCUUGUCAGUAGAAGUAACAUUAAACAGGGAAUACGAUGAUCUUGUUUACCGUCGUACCCUAAGGAGGAGAGGACCUUUUCAUCAGCUGACUCCAAGCUGAAGCUUUCUAUGUGUAUUGUCUCUCCCUACUAGAAUAUGAGUAUGAGAGCAAGGAUUGUCCCACUUUCCUAUUUGUAUCCCCAGUGCUGAGUGCAAUGCUUUCCACAUAGUGUUUAAUAAAUGCCUUUUCUCCAUUCUUUUGUUCA